This 815-nucleotide long non-coding RNA is filed under the name Mus musculus (house mouse). RNAcentral describes it as "Mir100 Mirlet7a-2 Mir125b-1 cluster host gene". Lineage: Eukaryota; Metazoa; Chordata; Mammalia; Rodentia; Muridae. The record is from RNAcentral.
AUUCUCCCCCUGCUCCCGAUGGCGCUCCUGGAAGCUCUGCAACUAUGCUCCACUUCAAAUGGACCCAUAACUGGUGUUACACCCCCACUCCCUGCCACCACAAAUACUGAGUCCAUUCCAGGAAUAGAAACCGCCGAAGGAUUACAUUCUCCACGGAGAACGAUCUCUAUGAAGGAAGAAGAUGGACAAUGUCUAUACGCCAUCUUCAGUUGGUAACGCUGUGGCAGUUAGCAUAACCAGUGCUAGGCAAGAUUCAACCGCACUGGCUGCGGUAUGCGUGGCCAACCGGAGUGAGGACAAAUCCCAUUCCGUCUGAAGACUGUCUCCUGCCAGAGAUCAAAUGCAGCUCGCACAUACAUGACACCAAGCAGAACACACUAAGAGAUUUUCCAUGGCGGGAGCUCGGCACUCCUGGAGUGGGGUUUACUUUGUUCAGGCGUUGUGUUGGUAUUUGAGGAGACUGGCUACAACUCCACAAGGCGGUUGCUGAGGAUGGAGCCUCUGUGUAUCUCAGAAGACUGCAGUUCUUACUGCUAGGAGACUGCAUGGCUAGUUCCCUCUGAGUUAAGCUUCUAUUUUUGAAGCCCAGAUGCAAUAAGGAGGUGCCUAUGAUAGACACAGAAUACAAACCCCACACAGCUUAAAGCUGGCAGAUGUCUUCUGCAAAACGAUGCCACACCUUGACCCUGAAUGAGGAAGAAGGCAGGGAUCCAUAGGAUUAUCCGGAGUGGAAAACAUGGCUUCCACUUCUAAUUUGUUUUUUAAAAACGGAAUCAUACCUAUGAAUUUCUUAAUAAAAUAUCUUUCUUGUAAAA